UAGCCUCCCUCCACCUAGUCCCAGACAGUGGCAGGACUACUCCGCUAGCCUCCCUCCACCUAGUCCCAGACAGUGGCAGGUCUACUCCGCUAGCCUCCCUCCACCUAGUCCCAGACAGUGGCAGGACUAAUGUCUGGUCCAGGGGGUUCCUUGAAGCUCUCUUGCAAGUUAAUACAUUCUGGGCCAUCUGUUUCAACACACUUCCUUUCCAUUACCAAGUGCCCCCCUCCCUGGCCCACAGUCUAAUUAACUUUGGUCCCUCUCCCUCUCCCCGUGCCCAGACUCAAACUGCCCCUCUGAGAGAAGGGGAGAUGGAAAGAGAGAAAGAGAAAGAGAAUGAGAAAUAGAGAGACAGAGAGAGCAUCUUCCCCAAUAUUUGGAACCGAGGCCUGAUCACCCCAAUCCACAAAAGUGGAGACAAAUUUGACCCCAAUAACUACCGUGGGAUAUGCGUCAACAGCAACCUUGGGAAAAUCCUCUGCAUUAUCAUUAACAGCAGACUUGUACAUUUCCGCAGUGAAAACAAUGUACUGAACAAAUGUCAAGUUGGCUUUUUACCAAAUUACCGUACGACAGACCACGUGUUCACCCUGCACACCCUAGAUGACAAACAAACAAAUAAAAAAUAAGGCAAAGUCUUCUCAUGCUUUGUUGAUUUCAAAAAAGCCUUUGACUCAAUUUGGCAUGAGAGUGCUGUACAAAUUGAUGGAAAGUGGUGUUGGGGGAAAAACAUACAAAAUUAUAAAAUCCAUGUACACAAACAACAAGUGUGCGGUUAAAAUUGGCAAAAAACACACACAUUUCUUUCCACAGGGCCGUGGG
Molecule: long non-coding RNA, 822 nt
Filed under: Salmo salar (Atlantic salmon)
Lineage: Eukaryota; Metazoa; Chordata; Actinopteri; Salmoniformes; Salmonidae
Description: lncRNA (ENSSSAG00000083494.1)
Source: RNAcentral